AGGGGCAUAGUUUAAUGGUAGAACGGAGGUCUCCAAAACCUUUGGUGGGAGUUCGAUUCUCUCUGCCCCUG
RNAcentral lists this transfer RNA (71 nucleotides) under Prevotellaceae bacterium. RNAcentral describes it as "tRNA-Trp". It matches the Rfam family "tRNA". Rfam says of the family: Transfer RNA (tRNA) molecules are approximately 80 nucleotides in length. Their secondary structure includes four short double-helical elements and three loops (D, anti-codon, and T loops). Further hydrogen bonds mediate the characteristic L-shaped molecular structure. tRNAs have two regions of fundamental functional importance: the anti-codon, which is responsible for specific mRNA codon recognition, and the 3' end, to which the tRNAs corresponding amino acid is attached (by aminoacyl-tRNA synthetases). tRNAs cope with the degeneracy of the genetic code in two manners: having more than one tRNA (with a specific anti-codon) for a particular amino acid; and 'wobble' base-pairing, i.e. permitting non-standard base-pairing at the 3rd anti-codon position. Lineage: Bacteria; Pseudomonadati; Bacteroidota; Bacteroidia; Bacteroidales; Prevotellaceae. The record is from RNAcentral.